Paramuricea clavata is the source of this 444-nucleotide non-coding RNA. The record is from the annotation of a GenBank genome assembly. NCBI's taxonomy places the organism in Eukaryota, Metazoa, Cnidaria, Anthozoa, Malacalcyonacea, Plexauridae.
CAUUGGUUUUGGAUGCAUCCAAAACCAUUUUCAUUAGCGCUAAAAUUGGUGAAUUGAUUUGCAUUUUCCUGCAGGGUUUGUUUUUAACGCAUCCAAAACCAUUCUGAUGAGCUAUACAUUGGCAAAUUUGUCUAGGGAUUGGUUUUGGACGCAUCUAAAACCAUUUUCAAAAGCACUAAAAUCGGCUGAUUUGUUUUCAUUUGUCUGGGGAUUUUUUGCUAAAAUCAGCGAAUUGGUUUGCAUUUCUCCAGGAUAGUUUUGGACAUAUUGGUCAAUUGUUUUGCAUUUUCUCGCAGGGUUGGUUUUGGACGCGUCCGAAACCAUUCUCAUGAGCUAUAAAUUGGCUAAUUUGUUUGCAUUUGUCUAGAGAUUGGUUUUAGAUGCAUCCAAAACCAUUUUCAUUAGCGCUAAAAUUGGUGAAUUGAUUUGCAUUUUCCUGCAGGG